AAUAUAUCCGGAAGCAACUGUCAUGGCUGCUGUCAGUGAGGGCCCGUAAUGGAGAUCGAGUCAAGGGUUGCCCAGGGACACUUAAGAGCCUUCGGCUUCAAGGAGGCCUCUCAAAGGACAAAGGAUGAGACUGCCUGGCGGCAGAGUGCCCCCCACAAUCGUAGGAACUGUGUCGCCGCGCUUCCCGUUAACUUGCCGCUAAGUUUUUCUAGAAAAGUCGCCCUUCUUGCCAGGGGUGUCCUAUAGACUUUGUCAUGGAGUGAAACAGAAACAAAUAAUGGCCUGUCCAGAAGACAGCCAAAUACAUCCUUCAAACAGACUUCACUGCAGGAGACAGAGUGGAUUCAUCCUGUAUUCUCCAUGUAGACUUCCAUCUUCAUGAGUACUCCAAGAAGAUGGUUCAGUUGACUAUUGCAAAGGAUGAAAGCAUGGGUCCCUGAGAAUUUCAUUACUUGCAACCUGAAUGGAAAAAUCACUUGAAAGCAUCAUGUGUGAACGCUUUGGAUACAAAAGAGAUCAAUAGAGUUGGCCUGGAACAAGAGAUGCCCUUGAAUGCAAGUUGUAACAACUGAGAGAAAUUGCCCAGACACUGCAACGGGAGUUGCCAACAAAGUAACAGAGUCAGAGAAGAGCUGAGUCUUGGGAAUGAAAAAGUGAUGAGGGGAUGACUUCCACAGUGGGUAUCCGGUCAUUUGGGCUGCUGCUCUGCCCUCAUCAAAGUGAUUUCCACUCUAAGCCUUUGCUAAUUUCACAACAGGAAAGCAUGCAAGAAAUUCGAGAACAAAACAAAUCUACACGCAGAGCCCAGCAUCUUCAAGCAAACACCCUGAGGUACAGACCCGAGGCUAGAUGAGUCCGGACUGCAGAUGAGGCAGCUGCCUCUUAAACUGCAAGGGGACUGAAAAAGUCAUUUGCCUCUAAAAAAACCAACUCUGAAUACAAAUUGAUAAUGAAUAUUCAUGAGCCCCUCCAGCUUGCUCUAGAGCCACCCUUGACUGCAACCCUGGACUCUGCUUCCUAAAAAGUUUCCCAAAGCUCUUUCUCUGCCUCCUCUCAGAAGGAAGAGGGUGGGAAAGUUCAUUCAGGGCUUUUUGCCUCCAGCUUUCAAGUACUUGCUUUUUGGUCUGGGCUUUUAUUUUUCCUUCUAUUUUUUUUUUCUUAAGGAUUCAGAUCAAAUCAAUUUUGGUCUUACCCUUUGUAUCUUCCAUAAGUAGCAGCUUUUGUUUUCCUCCUCUUUCCUCGUCUUUCCCCCCCCCAGCCUCUGCUUGCUGUGGUCCGUCUCCGUGAGAGAGGUCCUCAAGGAAACAGAGAUAUAACAGACCCUUGGGCUCGUGGGAGGGGCUAAAUUAGCCGGCCCCGUUUCGGAAGGAACCUCAAACCCUGUCUUUUUCAUUGACUAGAAAGGACAGAUUGACUGAGGAGUCCAGCAGCUCAUUUUCCUAAAGUUACUCGAAGCCUUUUCCAGGUUGUAAUUUUUUGCAUCCUUGAAGCAAUGUAUAUUCAAAUCUCUCUCUCUUUCUCCCUUCUUCCCUCUCUCCCUUACUCCCUCCCUCUUCAUCUCUCUCUCCCUCUCUUCGUUAUAGAAAUCCCUUUUUCUCCCUUGAAAAAGUCAUCUCAGCUGCAAGCAAAAAAAGCUAUUCCUUACUGCAAUUAUGAAGCUAGAUAAUAAGAAAGUUGUUACCUUGAAACCCGCUCGAAAAACUGAAAGUCAAGAACAGUUCUUCCCUCCCCAUAAAGCCUCUGGUCCCAUGACCAGCAAUCCUUUCUCAAGGCUCAUUAGAGCAAAGAGCAACAGGUGACCCAAGCGAUGAGUUUCCUGCAGGAGACGCUGCGUUAUUGGUUGGAAGGCUGGGUGGAACCACAGAGGAGCUGCUCAAUGGGAACCGCUGCCUGGCUAUGAAUUGAUGAAAGUCAUCCACCAUUUCCCAACUUUGACUUCCUACCUUUGAAGUCUAAUGAGCAUGAAUUACCACAUCCAGACCGUCAAGAUUACCCCAAUGUAGAUGAGAGCCUGACCAAAUUAUUUUUAAACUGUGUAACAAAAUUAUUUUGAAAUCAAAACAAGGGCUAAUCCUUUGAAAGGAAGGUAAGUCCUCAAGUCCCAAGGCGACUUGGCAGCUUCUCCCUCCACAAGGCUGUUGCAAACCUUAGCAUUUCAGGUCUGAAAGAUACCUCAGACAUUGAGUCUAAAAGAGGUUAGAGAUGUGGAGAGGUUAAGCCACCUGCUCAUGCUCACAUACAUGGUCUCUCUUAUUUGCUACCAUGUUCCCCAGCACCUAAUACAGUUUCUCUCACAGCAUGGGCUCUCAAUAAAUAUUUGAUGAAUGGUUGAAAAAAAUGAAUGAAUUGCAGCAAAGCAGAAAUGUAGAUCUGUUUUCCUGUUUCCUAGUUCUUGAUUUUUCUACAUUGCUUGUCUGGCAUGUAAAUUUGUAUCUAAAGCCAGUUAUACCAUAUAAAUCAUUAAAUUUGUGAGCCCGAAGGACUGUUUUGACUCUAUGUAGAAACUAUAUUCUCCAGCGAGCUUUCAGUCAUACUUUAAUAAGGACAAAGGAUAACCUUUUAGUUUAGGCAUCUCUGUUACUUUGCACGGUGCCACAUGGUAUAUACUCAAUACAUUUUUUAUACUUUAAUAAAUUUGGAGCUGUUUAACAAUACUUUAUUUCUGAAAUGCUUUAUAGUUAUAGGAUUUUGCAUGUAUGAUAACAACUAAUUACACUGAAUGAAAGACUCAAUGGAUGUCUUCUCCCGAGUCAGUUUAGACUACAUCUCUAAUAAUGAAUAUUGGUCUGAUAUUCAUCCUGUUAUGAUAAAACUGGUUUUUGGUGAUAUGAUGGGAUUUUUUGUAAAAACCAACAAUUGGUUUAUGACUGCCUUUGUACUAUUGUUUUGGAGAGAAAUUUGAAAAGAGCAUGUCCACAAAAUAGUGUGCGAAUUACAGAAUGGAAACCAAAACAUCAAAGCUAGAAAGAGAAAAGAAUGAUCAAAGGGAAGAUCCAGAGUGGCUGAGGGGUAGGCAGGAGAAACAGACAAACAAGUACCUGAGCUUGUCAAUGAGAGACACACUUUGGUGGGUGCUGUGGCAACGGUUCUCUACUUUAUUACAUUAGGAUAUUAGGUUCUUUUUUUUUUUUUUUUUUUGAGACAAGAGUUUUACUCUUGUCUCCCAGGCUGGAGUGCAAUGGAGCCAUCUCAGCUUACUGCACCCUCUGCCUCCCGGGUUCAAGUGAUUCUCCUGCCUCUGCCUCCAAGUAGCUGGGAUUACAGGCGCCCGCCACCUUGCCCAGCUAAUUUGUGUAUUUUUAGUAGAGAUGGGGUUUCACCAUGUUGGUCAGGCUGGUCUCGAACUCCUGACCUCAGGUGAUCCGCCCGCCUCAGCCUCCCAAAGUGCUGGGAUUACAGGCGUGAGCCACCAUGCCUGGCCUAUUUUACUACGUUCUUACAUUCUUUUUUUUGAGACAGAGCCUCACUCUGUCAUCCAGGCUGGAGUGCAGUGGCGUGAUCUUGGCUCACUGCAACCUCUGCCUCCCAGGUUCAAGUGAUUCUUGUGCCUCAGCCUCCCGCGUAACUGGGAUUAUAGAUGCGCACCACUAAGCCUGGCUAAUUUUUGUAUUUUUAGUAGAGAUUGGGUUUCACCAUGUUGUCCAGGCUGGUCUCAAACUCCUGGCCUCAAGUGAUCCGCUUGCCUUGGCCUCCCAAAGUGCUAGGAUUACAGGUGUGAGCCACAGUGCCUAGCCACAGUUCUCUAUUUUAAACAAAAUUAAAAUUCAAGGUCACUUCAGUCAUGUUGUAUCAGACGUUGUCGACAAAAGGUUACUUUGACAAUUGUCUCAUUCUCUUUACAUUUCAUCAGGGAGAGAAAGAGUUAGUAAAAAGUAAAUUGUUCUAGUACCCAACUUCUGGUUUAACCAGGAGAGGUAAAAUCUCAUUAUAGUAACUAGCACUUCAUAAAUAUUUGAAGUUCAUCCAAACUGAAUAUGGAGUAAUAGAAACAUAGUUUUAACCCCUAAUUCAUAUUACAUGAGCCUUUUGACAACAUUUAAUGCUUUUUAUGGUAAUAUGCUCUGUGCUACAAUUUAAUCACGUUGUCCAGGUUCGCACCCUCCUCAGCAUCAUGAAAAUACUAUGGUUAAGUAUAUAUUAUCACCAAUUCAUACAAGAAUAAUUAUAAAAGAGAUGGGAGUUUGUGUGUAUCUUUCUAAAGGCCUCAGAAUUUAUCUUAAAAAAUAAAUCGUCUUUCUCAAC
Molecule: long non-coding RNA, 4242 nt
Filed under: Homo sapiens (human)
Lineage: Eukaryota; Metazoa; Chordata; Mammalia; Primates; Hominidae
Description: non-protein coding ENTPD1-AS1:23
Source: RNAcentral